GGGCGUAUAGCUCAGUGGUAAAGUAUUCAACUGCAGUUUGAGAGGCCUCCGGUUCAAACCCGGGUAUCCCCU
Molecule: non-coding RNA, 72 nt
Organism: Trichonephila clavipes
Lineage: Eukaryota; Metazoa; Arthropoda; Arachnida; Araneae; Nephilidae
Source: the annotation of a GenBank genome assembly